Molecule: ribosomal RNA, 500 nt
Filed under: uncultured bacterium
Lineage: Bacteria
Description: partial 16S ribosomal RNA
Rfam family: Bacterial small subunit ribosomal RNA
Source: RNAcentral
AUUGAACGCUGGCGGAAUGCUUUACACAUGCAAGUCGAACGGCAGCACGGACUUCGGUCUGGUGGCGAGUGGCGAACGGGUGAGUAAUGCAUCGGAACGUGCCCAGUCGUGGGGGAUAACGUAGUGAAAAUUACGCUAAUACCGCAUACGAUCUAUGGAUGAAAGCGGGGGAUCGCAAGACCUCCCGCGAAUGGAGCGGUCGAUAUCAGAUUAGGUAGUUGGUGGGGUAAAGGCCGACCAAGCCAACGAUCUGUAGCUGGUCUGAGAGGACGACCAGCCACACUGGAACUGAGACAAGGUCCAGAAUCCUACGGGAGGCAGCAGUGGGGAAUUUUGGACAAUGGGCGAAAGCCUGAACCAGCCAUUGCGCGUGCAGGAUGAAGGCCCUCGGGUUGUAAACUGCUUUUGUACAGAACGAAAAGGUUUCUACUAAUACUAGGAGCUCAUGACGGUACUGUAAGAAUAAGCACCGGCUAACUACGUGCCAGCAGCCGCAGUAA